GAUGAACGCUGGCGGCGUGCCUAAUACAUGCAAGUCGAGCGAAUAGAUAAGGAGCUUGCUCCUUUGACGUUAGCGGCGGACGGGUGAGUAACACGUGGAUAACCUACCUAUAAGACUGGGAUAACUUCGGGAAACCGGAGCUAAUACCGGAUAACAUAUUGAACCGCAUGGUUCAAUAGUGAAAGGCGGCUUUGCUGUCACUUAUAGAUGGAUCCGCGCCGUAUUAGCUAGUUGGUAAGGUAACGGCUUACCAAGGCAACGAUACGUAGCCGACCUGAGAGGGUGAUCGGCCACACUGGAACUGAGACACGGUCCAGACUCCUACGGGAGGCAGCAGUAGGGAAUCUUCCGCAAUGGGCGAAAGCCUGACGGAGCAACGCCGCGUGAGUGAUGAAGGUCUUCGGAUCGUAAAACUCUGUUAUCAGGGAAGAACAAAUGUGUAAGUAACUGUGCACAUCUUGACGGUACCUGAUCAGAAAGCCACGGCUAACUACGUG
This 497-nucleotide ribosomal RNA is filed under the name uncultured bacterium. RNAcentral's name for it is "partial 16S ribosomal RNA". It matches the Rfam family "Bacterial small subunit ribosomal RNA", at positions 28 to 507 of the family's 1533-position model. The record is from RNAcentral.